Molecule: long non-coding RNA, 11640 nt
Filed under: Ananas comosus (pineapple)
Lineage: Eukaryota; Viridiplantae; Streptophyta; Magnoliopsida; Poales; Bromeliaceae
Description: long non-coding RNA (ACOM_LNC023131)
Source: RNAcentral
ACCUCCGGUGGUCGCCUCACCUCCCGUCCGGCCUCACCUCCGGUCGUCGCCUUACCUCCCCUCGUCGCCGCCUCACCUCCCCUCCGGCCUCACCUCCUGUCAUCGCCUUACCUCCCCUCACCUCACCUCCCCUCCGGCCUCACAUUCGGUCGUCGCCUCACCUCCCCUCGUCAGCGUUGGUCGUAAGUGCCUCACAUCUGGCCAAACCCUUUGCUACUUCUUCCUCAUCGAUUCCGUGAAACCCACGCUUCCGGAUCUAGCUUCUCACGCUCGAUCUGUGCCCGCCUUCAUCAGCGAUUUGCUUGUUGAUUUUUUUUUUGGGCUUUCUUCACCUGCGAUCUGUGCCGGCUUUAACCUGCAAUUUGGUUGUUGAUUCGGUUGGUGAAUCUUCUCAAUUUGGGGUUUUCUUCACCUGCGAUCUGUACCGGCCUUAAGCUGCGACUUGCUUGUUGAUUCGGUUGUUGAUUCUUUGUUUUGGGGUUUCUUCACCUGCGAUCUGUGCCGGCCUAAAUCUGUGAUUUUGUUGUUGAAUCUUGGUUUUCUGGUUUUCUUCGCCUGUGAACUAUGUCGCCCUUCUCACGCACGAUCAUUGCUGUCAGAGAGGCUUCAUGCUGCCAACCGUGGCCUUCGCUUCACAUCUUGCCAAUUGCGGGUUUUUUGUACACCCCCACUGUUCGUCCCUGCAGCUUGCUUGGGCCGAUCCCUGUUUUCGGGUUCAAAUUAAUUUGUGAGGCGUGGGUAUCUCUGUGCUUGCCUGUGGACAUCCUUGAGCUUGGUAUAUUUGCUAUAGACAGGUUACAUUUUUCCUAACUUUUCUAUUUAUCCAAUGCCGGUGAAAUAAAUCAAACGAAUUUGCAUGCUAGUUGGUAUAAUGAAGAUGAUGCAUAUUGGUAAUUCAAAUCAUACUUUUGCAUUUUCUGCUACAUGUUCAAUAUCGAUAUCUGAUAAUACUUGCGCAUAUUCUCGUUGCUAUAUGAAAUCGCCAUGUUAUUCAUACUCUCCUCUCGGAUGUCGUGAUGAAGAAUUGUAGAUACACUGAGGGAAAGAUAUACUGCUUGGAAAGAUGUGGUCCGGCGAUGAUGACGGUUCCCAAUUAAGAUUAGAUGGAUGGCAUUGAUUAAAAAAUCAAUGCAACCACAUUUUAGUUGGAAACCACUUGAGCCAUUUGUGGGAACGAACCAAAUAAACCUUAUUUCGACGAACAUGCAUUUGUACAUAGGAGACAGAUAUAUAAUUAAACAUGUAAUUUAUCGUUGAUUUAAGUAGACCCUUGUAGCCAUUAUACACAAUAUUUGGUAGUGAAAAACAAGUCUUGCAUUUAACUCAUAUUCAUGCAUCCAUCAUGCACUCUUUAAUUAUAAACUACAGAUGCAUCCAUUCGAGAAAGUUUCUAAGUCCAAACAGAAGCAACGUGGGCUCGCAGAUGAGUCACCUAUUGAGGCUAGCGGUGGAAUUCAUAUUGAUACAAGAACAAGGAGUCAAAAUUGGAGCAACAUGUUGGAUGCACAAUUGUUGGGGCUGAUGAGAGAUGAAUAUACAUUUGGUAAUUGCGUAAAUGGGUCGUUCACUCCAACUGCUUGGAAGAGGAUGGUAAAUGUAAGGUACCGGACUUCUAAAACUAUAAAGUUACGGUGUACAUUUAAAUGGUUCCGGUGAGGUUGCGGUGGAAUAUAACAUACUGGAUUUUAAAUAUAAAAGUGAAAAUAAAUAAAAAUAAUAUGAGAUACUAUUUUUAUUGAAUUUAGAGAAGUGAAAUAUAAGUUGGGAAUGACCUGUGCUGAAAUCGGAGCGAAAACAGAAGAUUUAAAAUUUUCGAUCAAACCCAACUAUUUCCAAAAAUUGCAUUUUGAACCCUAGGUUACAACUAUGCAAGAAAUCACCAAAUCCCUUCACGAAUUAAGCAUCAAUCAUCUAGAUAGCAUGCUAGGAUUCCUCUAAAUCGAUUUCUAGAGAACAAAACCACAUAUCUAGAAACCUACCAUGAGAGGGCUCAAGAAGCUCACCUCAAAAUUAGCUCCAAACAAUGGAGAAGAUAAAGAAGAUGAAGACGAUUCACCUACAAGCUUCAAUCUCCACCAAUUUUUUUAAUUUUGGAAGAGAUUUAGAGAGAGAAAUGGAAAUUCUCUCUCCCUUCCAUGCGUGUGUAUGCGUAUGUGUGUGUGCGGUUUGGGGCUGCUGCGGCUGAGAAAGGAGAAGAAGAAAAGGGAUUAAAUCCCUUUUUACAACUUAGUCCCUCAACUAUGCACUAUUCACUUCGAGCAGUUUAGAAACUGACAUUUUUCGCCGGAGCCCUUCUGAAUGUCCGUUUGAGCUCAAAUUUGACAGGCAGGCUCAGUUUUACUUAAUAAGUCCAAUGAAAUUUUAAUAUUUCAGUUUCGACCCCGUUUGGUCACCGAAAACUGUACCGAACUGUAAUCUUUAUCAGAUAGCUUUCGGAUUCUAUUUUUCACCUUCCGGGUGUCAGAAUGGCAUGAAACUUUAAAUCUAGCCUCAUAAAAAUAUUUCUGACAUCUCCGCCAAUUUUCAUAAUUUUCUGACACUGUACAUUUUCUGCUAAUUUAUUUACCCCGUUUCUUACAUCUCCUUCCUCAGCCGCAGUAGCCCCAAACCGCACACACACAUACGCAUACACACACGCAUGGAAAGGAGAGAGAAAACUUUCAUUUCUCUCUCUAAAUCUCUCCCAAAAUUAAAGAAAUUGGUGAAGAUUGAAGCUUGUAGGUGAAUUGUCUUCAUCUUCUUUAUCUUCUUCAUGGUUUGGAGCUAAUUUUGAGGUGAGCUUCUUGAGCCCUCUCAUGGUAGGUCUCUAGAUAUGUGGUUUUGAUCUCUAGAAAUGGAUUUAGAGGAAUCCUAGCAUGCUAUCUAGAUGAUUGAUCCUUAAUUCGUGAAGGGAUUUGGUGAUUUCUUGCAUAGUNAACCGAAGACCUUUAAUUUCCGGAUCGCAAAUCGGAGAUCGUUUGGGUGGUCGCGCGAGAGUUCGAGCCAAACCGGGUCGCGGGUGUCGCGGGCGGCCGAUUGCAAGUGACUACAAGCAAUCGGAGAGUAAGUUAAGGUGGGUUGUGUUUACCGAAGCGACUAGGUCGCCCUUUAUGUCUAAGAAACAUACGAAUUCAUAUUGAUGCAUGUUAAUAAAAUGACAUAGCUAAUGCAUGUGGACAAUGUGAUGCAAACUGCUAAGUAGAUGCAUAUGAAAUGAUGUAAUAUAGAAAUGCUUAUUGACAUAAUGACAUAGUUUAGAAAUGCUAAAUGUAAUGUGCAUGUUAAUAUGAUAAGAAACCAUGCUAGUGAUAUUUGCAUGAUAAUGCAUUGAUAGUACAUGCUAGUAAGUAAAUGCAUAUUAAUACAUAUGUGUAUAAUGAGCAUGUUGGAACCCUUGUAAUGUUCAUUGUAUUGAUUGCGACGCCUAGGACGUACAGGGAAAACUCUGUCCGUUCGGCGGUCUGUCGACGCGCCCGAACUCGGCCAAAUAAGUGGGGCCCGGGGCGUGACAGAUAAAGUGGUAUCAGAGCAUAAAGUAGAGAAUGGGCAAUGGUUUAGCUGGACCUAGGAGACCUAGGAUAGUAAACCAUAGGAGAAUAAGGCUCGUGAUAGACGAGGACUUGUGAGUUAUGGCGAAAGGUUCAUUGAUUGGGUUGUGUUGAAACCUCUAUGAUGGAUAUUAGAGGUAGACUCGAGGUGUGGUUUAUUCUCAACCGAGGGUGUUCAUGUUGGGCGCGCGACAACAUGAAACCGGGUGAUGAAAAUAGACGCCCUUGCGUGACUUUCGCCCGAUUUGAGUCAAUGUUAAGUUAUUUCGUACUCGACCUAGAGGGUUGAGAACUAAUCGAGUUGCCCUGUUUCAGGAAGCGAUGGCACCGCGUAGGCGACCUUCGUCUAGAUCGACGUGGGAUGGGACAGGUGGUGUCCCUGAGCAAUCCAAGGCGAGCGGAGACCCGGUGCUCCGCGAGCAGAUGAGUACGCUCAUGGGCGUAGUGCUGCGACAAGAGGAGCAGAUCAAGGAGCUCCAUGAGUUUUUUGCACGACAGACUGCGGCGGCUGCGCCGGUAGCAGCGCGCCAUGUACCGACAGGAAUGGCGAUGGAUUCAGGGGUAGUGGCCUCUGAUUCUGUGGAAAUGGAAGCGGAGAAAGAGCAGGCUUUGACGGCCCUAAUGACCUUCAAGAAGUUUGAUCCGCCUGUCUUCGAUGGAGAGAAUGUUGAUCCAUGGAUCGUGGAGAUGUGGAUUGACUCUAUGGAAACGCUCUUUGAGGAGCUGUACACCUUGGAGCGAGACAAGGUGCCCCUAGCUGUGCAUUGCUUGAAACAGUCGGCAAAGGUGUGGUGGAAAGGUAUUCGACGGAAUCGAUCGUCUAGUCUCCCUCCUAUGGCAUGGGAUGAGUUUCGGAGAUUGGUGUUUUCGGCUUACUUCCCCGACACUGAAAAGAGAAAGCUCCAGGACAUGUUCAGGAAGCUGCGGCAAGGAGACCGCUCUGUGAGAGAAUAUGAACGGGAGUUCUCUCGUAUCGUGAAUUGUGUCCCGGAUGUGGUACGGGAUGACGAGGAUAUGGCCGAUUGGUUCCUGCGUGGACUUCGACCAGAACGGGAAUUUUCCCGCAUCGUGAAUUGUGUCCCGGAUGUGGUACGGGAUGACGAGGAUAUGGCCGAUUGGUUCCUGCGUGGACUUCGACCAGAGAUUUACGAGAGGAUGCAAAUCUUCAAGCUCACAACUGAUGCAGACCGAACCCGACCCGUCUCAUCACCCGGAUUUCAGGUCUAUCAACGAAGGCGACGCAAGUUGGCGCCCAAACCUGCUAUAUGGAUCUGAAGAUUAUUCUUGAUUUACUCUGUUAUUUUUAAGAUUUUCUUGUUAGGAAUAUUUGUUAUAUUUUUCCUUUUAGAUAAAUCUCUAGUUAAGAUUUUUUCGGUUAUUUUUCUUUUAGAUAUAUCUCUAGNNNNNNNNNNNNNNNNNNNNNNNNNNNNNNNNNNNNNNNNNNNNNNNNNNNNNNNNNNNNNNNNNNNNNNNNNNNNNNNNNNNNNNNNNNNNNNNNNNNNCACGAUCAUAAAAUUUGAGGGACUACCAAAGGACUAUGUGAUGUGAUAGAGAUGUGCGGUUGUGAGUUACUUUGGAAGACAAGUGAAAUUAAUGAACAUAAUUACAUUUCUUCACAUAUCAGCCCACAAACAAGUGGCCAAACUGAGGUUGUUAAUCGAAGCCUAUGAGAUUUAUUACGUUGUCUUAGUGGGUGCAUCACACUAGGAAUGGGAUAGCGUUUUACCUAUGCCGAAAUUUGCCUACAAUAACUCAUUUUAUCGACCACUAGAUGAGUUCCCGUUUAGAGAUUGUCACUGGGUUACAAUCCUAGGACACCAGUUUGAACUUAAUUCCGUUACCUGUUAGACUAUAGGUCAAGCCAACAUUACUGAAGCCUUUUGUUCAAGAUGAUAAAGAAUGCCAUGAUAAAAUAAGAGAGCAAGUUGUUUAAAAACUGAGAUUAUGCAAAAUAAAGCCAAAAUGAACGUCGGCGCUGAAGGGAAACUUUUAACGAAGGAGAUAUGGUAUAUGGUAAGGCUCUCGACCAGAACGAUUCGCAUAGCGAUACAGCUGAAAAAAGCUACAUCCUGAGAAAUUUGGCAGUCCAUUCAAAAUCUUGAAACAACUAAAUCCAAAUCUUAUGUCUUUGGAUUUGCCGGCUAAUCAUCGGUUUUAACUCAACGGUCAAUAUCGAGGAUCUGACCGACUACCAUGAGCCUCUUUCCAUUGAGAAUCCCAUCUCCACAAAAUAUACUCCACGUCAACCUAAUUCCUCCACUUCCAUCCCUACCCCUAACGAGAAAGAAAAGAAGAAAGUCGAACAUUGUUCUCGUACGAUCGAGUUGUUAUUACAACGAAUCAGGUGAUUCGCGUUAAGCUUUAUGGUGAAAGUGGCAUCCGACCAGAUGAAGAAGUUGACAAUCUACCGGAACACGAGCUUAUAGACAUUGCUCCAGAUCUCGUAUGAGGACUACAUCAGCAUAAUCGUCAGUUAGUUCGCGCAUUUUUCCAAGCGGGGAGAGAUGAUGCAGACCGAACGCGACCCGUUUCUCAUCACCGGGAUUUCAGGUCUAUCGCGAAGGCACGCAAGUUGGCGCCCCGAACCCGCUAUAUGAUCUGAAGAUAUUUCUGAUUUUACUCUGCUUAUUUUUAGAUUUUCUUGCUUAGCGAAUAUUUGUUAUAUUUCCUUUUUAGAUAAAUCUCUAGUUAAUAUUUUUUCGGUUUUUUUCUUUUAGAUACUCUCUAGGUUGAGAUUUUUUUGGUUAUUUCUCGGAUGCUAGAUUAGGAUAUAAAUAACCUACAGUUUUAUGAGGGGAUGAUGAUUAUUGAAUAAUAAAAUUUUGAACCUUUCUUGCGAAAGAUUUUGGUGCAGAGUUUUUUCCGGAGGUUUCCGGUUUCUGCGAGGUCCUAGAGUUUUAAUAUUUGGGAUCUGAGUUCCUUUAAUUUUCUGCAAAUUUUGACUACUUAUUGUGGUGAGAUGGUUAAGAUUUUGAGAAUAAUAGAGAGGUGAGAGUCGAGAGAGAGACUUGCUGCAAGCAGGCUGAGGAGUAAAGAGGUGAAGACGAAGCUUGAAACGUGGAUCCUUGAGCGCCAGCUCCGAGGCGGCUUGGCUUCGUGCACAACUAUUCAGCGCCAUGGUGGCCUAUGUGAAGCAUCAGCAGAACUAUAUUGGAUGAAACCGGUUCACACACAAGCUAAGUAUUCCCCUUACACCUCAAAUUUACGCCAAAUAUCUAUGGUAAUAAAACUUGUCGUAAUAGAACGUUUUGUUUUAUAUUUUUUCUUCAAAAAAAAAAAAAAAUUUAUAGUAGAUCUCGUUUUUUUAUCGUCCUAAACUUUUCGAAAAUUGUUUUGUCUCUAUUAACUUGCAAGAUACUUGAUUAUUAUUGUUGGAGCGAAUUUCGGAUUAACGCAGGUAUUUACAAGCAUAGAUUAGGAGGAUGUUGCAAAUGAUUGUGGUGGAUGAUCUGGAUUAAUCGUAAUAGAUUUAUCAUGCAUUUCGACUGGGAUGUCGUAUGGUACAUAUCUCCUAUUGAAUCAACUUUCUCUACUUAUUAUUUUCUUUUCGAACGUUAUUCUUUAAAUAUACUCUCAUAAUAUCAUAUAUAUAUAUUUUUGCUCGUUUAAUUUUAUCUUAGCAAAAUUUUUGUCUACCACAUCUAAGAAGUUUUACAUGUAGGAUAGGUUUGACCCGUCCUGCAUCAACAACCUUCGCGGAGGUGUUGGAUCGAGCAUUGUUGGCAGAGCACGGCGAGACUUUUGUGCGUGAGAAGCACGAGUCUUCUGAACGUGCGGGGAGGGGUGAGGCCAUUGUCGAGCGGUUCGGGUGGGCAAUCAAGUUCUAGGCGCCACUCGAAGUUGUCCUCUACCCGGUCCUCCCCUGGAUGCGUGAUUUGCGGUGGCUCCCACUGGGCUCGGCGGUGCGUGCUGCGCAAUGGUAGAUGCCUUCGUUGUGGGCAGCCGUGCCAUAUGCGGGACGAGUGUCCGCAAGGGCAUGACCAGAUCCUGACACUGGCGACGACCUUUUCCUCUCCGGGACAGCCUGCAGGUGUGCCACCUGCGGCAUGGUCGGAUGAACGACCGUUGAGGAUGAUGCCACCGAGGGGCUCGCGGCGGGCGGCGGGUGACCGUGGAUACGCGACCCAGGUGGAGAAACCUACUACUGCUGACACUGUCAUGGCAGGUACGAUUUAAUUAAGCAAGCAUAUGCUUCUACCUAAUAUUGGACUGUUGCAUAGCAUGCAUUUAUCAUAUGGUCAGCAGCUACUAUCUACAUAUUGCAUAGUAGGGACCGAGUGGUCGGGUAGGUAGACACCCGAGCAUACUUGCAUCGUGAGAGUGUAGCGCCUGCUGGAGCAGAUAGAGAGUCAUGUAGCACUAACAAAUUGUUAGUGAUGGUUCCUGGACAAGAAAUGAGACUCGCGGUGAACGUGAAACGGUGAAGCGGCUCUCAAGGCAAUGAGAACCAGAUUGCGAGAGCUGCGCCGUGACGUUAAGGAUACCCUAGUAGUUCGAGCAUUUCGAAUAUGGUUCGGUAGAUCGAACAGUGAGAGUUGGAUCACUGUUGAGAAAAUAGUCGGAUAGUUAUCGAGCACGAGCAUGUGGGCCUAAUAGCACCCUGAGUUGAGGUGGGCGAGUAGUGCUCGUGUAGUCGGUGUGCAUAGGCAGGUGGCCUACUGCUUGGCUUAGUUGAAACGCUAUAGAGGCGUAGAGCGCUCGAGUAUAGGUACUCGUAGAGCAUGGAUUUGAUUCAGCCAAGAGUGAGAUGGCAGUAGCACCGCAGCAUUGCUAAGUGUGAAGCUGGCCAUGGGUCACUUGUGGGGCUAGCGGCUCGCACUAGAUACUUAGGAGCCGAUAGAGUGUCUAGCUCGGUAGAGCAUGUCGUGUAGGACGACGUUGGUGGAUAUUGCUUGGGGACGACCCGUGCCUGGACCAUUUGUGGACUGUGAAGCCUGGGCCCAUUGAGCAGGCGCAGUCAGCUGUGAGAGACAGCGGCCCGGUACCUAUAGGUAGGGCAGAGAGUUGGUCAGGACGGUAGUCCGAGCUUAGACCCGGGUGCGUGGAAUGCCACGUGUUGGAUCGUGAGAUCGAGUUUAGUGUGUUGUGACCCAACCCGAGGACUUGACGUGGUUUGGGGUCUUGGUUGUUCCUCUUUGGAGUGUGUACGAAUUCCCAAGUGAGAAUUUCGCCCGGAAGUUAGGAUUGGGUCUACAAUGCGAGCGAGAGACGCUAUGCGUAGUUGCGACGGGCCUACGUGGUGUUGGUGACCGUUGAUCCGCCUAUGGAAGCCGACGUAAUCGGUUUAGCCGAUAACUCCAUGGAGGAGUUGGUGCAAGGAGAUGAAUUCUCGAAAUACGAGAGUUGAACUUCGCUCGAGAUCAACUAAUUGUCGAGUGGGAGUGCUUCGCAAAAGCCGAAGAGGUCAAAUGCACCAAAAGUGCAUUGCAAUGGAGUCCGCGAGAGCAAAUGGUGCAAAAAUCUGCACUCGGCAGAUUUGCUCUCGGGGACCGGUCCCUGGCAGGGAAAGACCGGUCCCCGUAGUUGGUGAUUGCGGGGUUGCGUGAUGCAACCGGUCCCCGGGCCAGAGGAACCGGUCCCCGUAAGCGUAACCAGCGAGAAGAGGAGAUUGGCUAAGUCCUGCGAGAGCAAGCUCUCGGGGACCUGUCUCUGGUAGACAGACCGGUCUCCGGGGGACCGGUCCUCUAGGGGCAGACCGGUUCCCGUAGGUGUGUUCAGGCUGAAGGCUCUCAGGAACCGAUCCCUCAUCGGAAGGACCGGUCCCUCUACGCAAAAAAAUUGCCCAGGCAAGCUGGGUCAUAUUGGAAGAGUUGGAGAGCUUGAGGAUAAUGCUCUGUGGAUUGAGAUUCGAGAUGCGCCGGAGUGGGCCAUCUCUCAAUAGAGCAAAGAUCCAUAUGUAGUUGGAGCACUCGCGAUUGGUCGAUGCACCAAUGAUAUUGCUUCUAAGCAAUGCCGGUGAUCGAAUCGGAGUGUGUUCCCUGACAGGAAAGUAAAUGCAGAGAAGAGUUCUUGCAUACCAAGUGGUGAGUGAUGUUGUAGCGCGUAGAGUCGUUGAGUUUCGACUUGCGCUACCACCAAGAAUGACGAGACCCGUAAUGCACUUUUGGACUUACACACGGCAAAUGUGAGUGAAUCUAGUAUCACGUCCUCCGUAGUGGGCCUUUGGAUAGUUCCAAUGAGCGAAAGGCCACUCCGAGAUGCAAAAGUGCACUGUACCCUUUGUCACUCAAUAAAGAGAAUUAGAGUGUGAAUUGGGUUGGAGUGAGUUUCGGGGACGAAACUCUUAUUAAGGAGGGGAGGAUGUAAGGUAGCGGACUUCUAAAACUAUGAAGUUACGGUGUAUAUUUAAAUGGUUCCGGUGAGGUUGCGGUGGAAUGUAACAUACCGGAUUUUAAAUAUAAAAGUGAAAAUAAAUAAAAAUAGUAUGAGAUACUAUUUUUAUUGGAUUUAGAGAAGUGAAAUAUAAGUUGGGAAUGACCUGUGCUGAAAUCGGAGCGAAAAUAGUAGAUUUAGAAUUUUCUCUAAGAAACGGGGCAGAUAAAUUAGCAGAAAAUGCACAGUCUCAGAAAAUUAUGAAAAUUGGCGGAGAUGUCAGAAACAUUUUUAUGAGGCUCGAUUUAAAGUUUCAUGCCAUUCUGACACCCGGAAGGUGAAAAAUAGAAUCCGAAAGCUAUCUGAUAAAGAUUACUGUUCGGUACAGUUUUCGGUGACCAAACGGGGUCGAAACUGAAAUAUUAAAAUUUCUUUGGACUUAUUAAGUAAAACUGAGCCUGCCUGUCAAAUUUGAGCUCAAACGGACAUUCAGAAGGGCUCCGGCGAAAAAUAUCAAUUUCUAAACUGUCCGAAGUGAAUAGUGCAUAGUUGAGGGACUAAGUUGUAAAAUGGAUUUAAUCCCAUUUCUUCUUCUCCUUCCUCAGCCGCAGCAGCCCCAAACCGCACACACACAUACGCAUACACACACGCAUGGAAGGGAGAGAGAAAACUUCCAUUUCUCUCUCUAAAUCUCUCCCAAAAUUAAAGAAAUUGGUGGAGAUUGAAGCUUGUAGGUGAAUCGUCUUCAUCUUCUUUAUCUUCUCCAUUGUUUGGAGCUAAUUUUGAGGUGAGCUUCUUGAGCCCUCUCAUGGUAGGUCUCUAGAUAUGUGGUUUUGAUCUCUAGAAAUGGAUUUAGAGGAAUCCUAGCAUGCUAUCUAGAUGAUUGAUCCUUAAUUCGUGAAGGGAUUUGGUGAUUUCAUGCAUAGUUGUAAUCUAGGGUUCAAAAUGCAAUUUUUGGAAAUAGUUGGGUUUGAUCUCAAUUAACCCUCCGUAAACCUAAUUGCUAGGUAACGAAACGCGUUGGCGAAGACGGUUCGGCAAUCCGACGAGCCGUUACAAAGUUAUUAAAGAAACGGACGUUUAGGCUUCGUUUACGCCUGGAGGGCCGAGGCGACGUCGUAAAAUCGUGAAAACGGAUUUGAAGCACCGUGGCACAUAACCGAAGACCUUUAAUUUCCGGAUCGCAAAUCGGAGAUCGUUUGGCUAGUCGCGCGAGAGUUCGAGCCAAAAUUGGAGCAACAUGUUGGAUGCAAAAUUGUUGGGGCUGAUGAGAGAUGAGCAUACAUUUUGUAAUUGCGUAAAUGGGUCGUUCACUCCAACUGCUUGGAAGAGGAUGGUAAAUGUAAGGUACCGGACUUCUAAAACUAUGAAGUUACGGUGUACAUUUAAAUGGUUCCGGUGAGGUUGCGGUGGAAUGUAACAUACUGGAUUUUAAAUAUAAAAGUAAAAAUAAAUAAAAAUAGUAUGAGAUACUAUUUUUAUUGGAUUUAGAGAAGUGAAAUAUAAGUUGGGAAUGACCUGUGCUGAAAUCGGAGCGAAAAUAGAAGAUUUAGAAUUUUCGAUCAAACCCAACUAUUUCCAAAAAUUGCAUUUUGAACCCUAGGUUACAACUAUGCAAGAAAUCACCAAAUCCCUUCACGAAUUAAGCAUCAAUCAUCUAGAUAGCAUGCUAGGAUUCCUCUAAAUCCAUUUCUAGAGAUCAAAACCACAUAUCUAGAGACCUACCAUGAGAGGGCUCAAGAAGCUCACCUCAAAAUUAGCUCCAAACAAUGGAGAAGAUAAAGAAGAUGAAGACGAUUCA